RNAcentral lists this ribosomal RNA (433 nucleotides) under uncultured bacterium. RNAcentral describes it as "partial 16S ribosomal RNA". It matches the Rfam family "Bacterial small subunit ribosomal RNA", at positions 29 to 507 of the family's 1533-position model. The record is from RNAcentral.
AACGAACGCUGGCGGCAUGCCUAACAUAUGCAAGUCGAACGAGACCUUCGGGUCUAGUGGCGCACGGGUGCGUAACGCGUGGGAACCUGCCCUUAGGUUCGGAAUAACUCCCCGAAAGGGGUGCUAAUACCGGAUAAUGUCUUCGGACCAAAGAUUUAUCGCCUUUGGAUGGGCCCGCGUUGGAUUAGCUAGUUGGUAGGGUAAAAGCCUACCAAGGCGACGAUCCAUAGCUGGUCUGAGAGGAUGAUCAGCCACACUGGGACUGAGACACGGCCCAGACUCCUACGGGAGGCAGCAGUCGGGAAUAUUGGACAAUGGGCGAAAGCCUGAUCCAGCAAUGCCGCGUGAGUGAUGAAGGCCUUAGGGUUGUAAAGCUCUUUUACCCGGGAUGAUAAUGACAGUACCGGGAGAAUAAGCUCCGGCUAACUCCGUG